This 939-nucleotide ribosomal RNA is filed under the name uncultured archaeon. RNAcentral describes it as "bacterial SSU rRNA". It matches the Rfam family "Archaeal small subunit ribosomal RNA", at positions 1 to 922 of the family's 1478-position model. The record is from RNAcentral.
UUCCGGUUGAUCCUGCCGGACCUUACUGCUAUCGAGAUGGGACUAAGCCAGGCCAGUCGAACGACCCGAACUAAGGCGGGAAGUGGCAUACUGCUCAGCAACACGUAGCUAACCUAACCUCAAGACGGAAACAACCCCGGGAAACUGGGGUCAAUUUCCGAUAGAUGUGAAAUCCUGGAAUGGUAUCACAUCCAAACGUCACCACACCAUGUUGUGCGAACGCUUGAGGAUGGGGCUGCGGCCGAUCAGGCUGUUGGUGGGGUAAUGGCCCACCAAGCCUUUGACCGGUACGGGCCAUGAGAGUGGUAGCCCGGAGAUGGACACUGAGACAAGGGUCCAGGCCCUACGGGGCGCAGCCGGUACGAAACCUCCACAAUGCACGCAAGUGCGAUGGGGUUAUCUCGAGUGCUACCUUAACCGGUAGCUUUUCCAUUGUCUAAAUAGCCGUGGGAAUAAGGGGGGGGCAAGACUGGUGUCAGCCGCCGCGGUAACACCAGCCCCCCGAGUGGUAGGGAUGAUUAUUUGGCCUAAAGCGUCCGUAGCCUGCUAGGUAAAUUUCUCGUUAAAUCCAACGUCCUAAGCGUUGGGCCGCGUGAAAAACUGCCAAGCUAGAGGGUGGGAGAGGUCAGCGGUAUUCCUGGGGUAGGGGCGAAAUCCAUUGAACCCAGGAGGACCACCAGUGGCGAAGGCUGCUGACUAGAACACGCCUGACGGUCAGGGACGAAAGCUGGGGUAGCGAAUCGGAUUAGAUACCCGAGUAGUCCCAGCCGUAAACGAUGCAGACUAGGUGUUGGGUUGGCCACGUGCCGACUCAGUGCCACAGGGAAGCCAUUAAGUCUGCCGCCUGGGAAGUACGGCCGCAAGGCUGAAACUUAAAGGAAUUGGCGGGGGAGCACCACCAGGCGUGAAGCCUGCGGUUUAAUUGGAGUCAACGCCGGA